GACGAACGCUGGCGGCGUGCUUAACACAUGCAAGUCGAACGGAAAGGCCCUGCUUUUGUGGGGUGCUCGAGUGGCGAACGGGUGAGUAACACGUGAGUAACCUGCCCUUGACUUUGGGAUAACUUCAGGAGACUGGGGCUAAUACCGGAUAGGAGCUCCUGCUGCAUGGUGGGGGUUGGAAAGUUUCGGCGGUUGGGGAUGGACUCGCGGCUUAUCAGCUUGUUGGUGGGGUAGUGGCUUACCAAGGCUUUGACGGGUAGCCGGCCUGAGAGGGUGACCGGCCACAUGGGGACUGAGAUACGGCCCAGACUCCUACGGGAGGCAGCAGUGGGGAAUAUUGCACAAUGGGCGGAAGCCUGAUGCAGCAACGCCGCGUGCGGGAUGACGGCCUUCGGGUUGUAAACCGCUUUCGCCUGUGACGAAGCGUGAGUGACGGUAAUGGGUAAAGAAGCACCGGCUAACUACGUG
This 468-nucleotide ribosomal RNA is filed under the name uncultured bacterium. RNAcentral's name for it is "partial 16S ribosomal RNA". It matches the Rfam family "Bacterial small subunit ribosomal RNA", at positions 28 to 507 of the family's 1533-position model. The record is from RNAcentral.